RNAcentral lists this ribosomal RNA (793 nucleotides) under uncultured bacterium. RNAcentral's name for it is "bacterial SSU rRNA". It matches the Rfam family "Bacterial small subunit ribosomal RNA", at positions 8 to 796 of the family's 1533-position model. The record is from RNAcentral.
AGAGUUUGAUCAUGGCUCAGAUUGAACGCUGGCGGCAGGCUUAACACAUGCAAGUCGAGCGGGCGAGGUUGCUUCGGUAACUGAGCUAGCGGCGGACGGGUGAGUAAUGCUUAGGAAUCUGCCUAUUAGUGGGGGACAACAUUCCGGAAGGAAUGCUAAUACCGCAUACGUCCUACGGGAGAAAGCAGGGGAUCAUUUGACCCUGCGCUAAUAGAUGAGCCUAAGUCGGAUUAGCUAGUUGGUGGGGUAAAGGCCUACCAAGGCGACGAUCUGUAGCGGGUCUGAGAGGAUGAUCCGCCACACUGGGGCUGAGACACGGCCCAGACUCCUACGGGAGGCAGCAGUGGGGAAUAUUGGACAAUGGGGGGAACCCUGAUCCAGCCAUGCCGCGUGUGUGAAGAAGGCCUUUUGGUUGUAAAGCACUUUAAGCGAGGAGGAGGCUCUCUUGGUUAAUACCUGAGAAGAGUGGACGUUACUCGCAGAAUAAGCACCGGCUAACUCUGUGCCAGCAGCCGCGGUAAUACAGAGGGUGCGAGCGUUAAUCGGAUUUACUGGGCGUAAAGCGCGCGUAGGUGGCUAAUUAAGUCAAAUGUGAAAUCCCCGAGCUUAACUUGGGAAUUGCAUUCGAUACUGGUUGGCUAGAGUAUGGGAGAGGAUGGUAGAAUUCCAGGUGUAGCGGUGAAAUGCGUAGAGAUCUGGAGGAAUACCGAUGGCGAAGGCAGCCAUCUGGCCUAAUACUGACACUGAGGUGCGAAAGCAUGGGAGCAAAUAGGAUUAGAUACCCUGGUAGUCC